CAGAAACUUGUCUUGCAGAUGGAAACCAAAUGCUUAUCGCAACAGGAGUAGGCAUACAAGUUAAACCCAUUUGUUCCACUUUUGCUCGACUGAAAGACAAGAACGACCACAUCAUAAAUGAUUGGUACUAAUAAGGCUGGUUUUGAACUCUACAAGAGAUUCCUGCUACAUACCCAUCAAGAACAUCUUGUCGUUGCAUCGUGGUGAGCAAACCAUGGGUGCGCAUCAUCAAAGAGCGGUGCCCUUGAUAUUCACCUUCAGCCUUUCGGAGAACACUUGUUGAUUCAUCUGCAUAAAAAGAAAUUAAGAUUAGCAAGCAGCUUGGCCUUGAUAGGUCUGGAAAUGCGUUCGUACCACAGACAAAGAGUAUGUAGUUCUUAUUCAUAUGGAAAACUUGAAGCACAUGAGGCUCUGCAGCGGAUUUCAUCCCAGCCUUUCUCCUAGAGCAUUUAGCAGGUUCGUUUUCAUUGUAAACAUAAAUUAUAGAAUGAAAUAACAAAUAUAGCCGGCGAUUCUUAAUUAGUGCAAUGCGAUUUCAUUUGGUCAUAUGAAAGAGUUAUAUCACCACAAUGAUUUCUAAUUUCGUGACCACAUUUCAUAGUUCAAGGGAAGUUAUCUUUUUCCCUGUUCUCUCCAUAUCAGUGGUGAACAUCACCAUGCCUGUCACCCAUUGGGACAUAACCCUCCAUCACUGCACACAUCCCCAGUGAGUACCACACUGUCUGCAUAUAGAAAGGAGGUGAGACCAUGAUUGAUAAACUAUGCGUGAGAAAUCUAUAUUUGCCUUCCAGUUUAUAGAAGAAUAAGAAAGAGAACUUAGACAGACUUUUAAGCAAUGCUCAUUUAACCUGUGAAGGACAAAAAUAUUCCACCAUCUCUGAAUGAUGAACUAAACUAAAUAAGAGAUAUAUACGGUAAAUUCACUCAAAGUAGAAAAGGGAUCUUCACAUAAGCUUCUUGCUGAGGACAUUUCUUGACUGGAAGGUCACACUUGAACCCAUUACACUUAUAAAACCCAGCCCUGUUGGCAUUUCAAUUGCAAAUUAAUCAUCAAUAAUGCAAAAUAAUUUAUGACCAAAAAAUGAUUUGGAGAAAAAUAUUAAUAAUGCAAAUAAAUACACACACGUAGAAAGAUGCAUCGCAAUAGUCGUAUUACCUGAAUUUCUAACCUGACCAGCAAAAUCAGAUCUUUAACCAUAGUUGGUGCUUAACCUUCUUGCUGCUGCUAAUGAUUUUGGCCAUGAAGGCAUCGGAGUAAGGGGAGGAAGAACGGACGGCGCCUGCCGGAAGUUGCCGAUUGGUGUUGACGGCCUGGCAAAGCCAUCUCCCUCCUCCAUGAUAGGUGGCAGUCGGCGGAGAGGUAUAAAUAUGACCAGAUGUAAAAACAAGCUCGAGCAAACUAA
This 1403-nucleotide long non-coding RNA is filed under the name Triticum aestivum (bread wheat). Its description in RNAcentral is "long non-coding RNA (TAES_LNC013478)". The record is from RNAcentral. Lineage: Eukaryota; Viridiplantae; Streptophyta; Magnoliopsida; Poales; Poaceae.